UUGAGUGUUGGCUGCGCUUGUUCUGUGUGAUGAACUUUUAAGAAUCGUUCCCCUAUAUAUACGAAAAUACAUUCUAAAAAUUUGAGCUUUAUUAUUGGAAGUUCGUGAAGUUUUUUAUUCAUGUGAUGUUUUCUUAUGAUUUGUACCUGGCGCCCAGCUUGCGGUUAAGACUGAUAAUUGCAUUAAGGGGAAUAUCAUGGCGCGGGCAGCUAUUAAUAGACAACUUGUCUUUAUAAAAACCACAAUGAAUCAUUUAUAAAUAUUAUCGUAAGAGUUUAUAACAUUGC
This is a long non-coding RNA of Drosophila albomicans, 287 nucleotides long. RefSeq lists it as uncharacterized. NCBI's taxonomy places the organism in Eukaryota, Metazoa, Arthropoda, Insecta, Diptera, Drosophilidae. The transcript is spliced from 3 exons. The record is from RefSeq and is a predicted model, not a curated record.